CGUGCACUCGGGGGGCCCCUCAGCCUGGAUUGUGAGAAGGCGCAUGCCAGGCUGAGGGAACCCACCAGUGCAUG
RNAcentral lists this microRNA precursor (74 nucleotides) under Myotis brandtii (Brandt's bat). Its description in RNAcentral is "mir-9193 microRNA precursor family". It matches the Rfam family "mir-9193 microRNA precursor family". The record is from Rfam by way of RNAcentral. Lineage: Eukaryota; Metazoa; Chordata; Mammalia; Chiroptera; Vespertilionidae.